Molecule: small RNA, 28 nt
Filed under: Bombyx mori (domestic silkworm)
Lineage: Eukaryota; Metazoa; Arthropoda; Insecta; Lepidoptera; Bombycidae
Description: piRNA piR-bmo-1388708
Source: RNAcentral
UAACAGUAACUGCGCGCCCUCUGCCAUC